RNAcentral lists this ribosomal RNA (462 nucleotides) under Salmonella enterica subsp. enterica serovar Infantis. RNAcentral describes it as "partial 23S ribosomal RNA". It matches the Rfam family "Bacterial large subunit ribosomal RNA", at positions 711 to 1170 of the family's 2925-position model. Lineage: Bacteria; Pseudomonadati; Pseudomonadota; Gammaproteobacteria; Enterobacterales; Enterobacteriaceae. RNAcentral also lists the same sequence under 3 other names. The record is from RNAcentral.
AGACCCGAAACCCGGUGAUCUAGCCAUGGGCAGGUUGAAGGUUGGGUAACACUAACUGGAGGACCGAACCGACUAAUGUUGAAAAAUUAGCGGAUGACCUGUGGCUGGGGGUGAAAGGCCAAUCAAACCGGGAGAUAGCUGGUUCUCCCCGAAAGCUAUUUAGGUAGCGCCUCGUGAAUUCAUCUCCGGGGGUAGAGCACUGUUUCGGCUAGGGGGCCAUCCCGGCUUACCAACCCGAUGCAAACUGCGAAUACCGGAGAAUGUUAUCACGGGAGACACACGGCGGGUGCUAACGUCCGUCGUGAAGAGGGAAACAACCCAGACCGCCAGCUAAGGUCCCAAAGUCAUGGUUAAGUGGGAAACGAUGUGGGAAGGCCCAGACAGCCAGGAUGUUGGCUUAGAAGCAGCCAUCAUUUAAAGAAAGCGUAAUAGCUCACUGGUCGAGUCGGCCUGCGCGGAAGA